Molecule: long non-coding RNA, 2594 nt
Organism: Aotus nancymaae (Ma's night monkey)
Lineage: Eukaryota; Metazoa; Chordata; Mammalia; Primates; Aotidae
Source: Ensembl
GAAUUCUAUUUAGCCUUUGAAAAGGAUGAGACCCUGNNNNNNNNNNNNNNNNNNNNNNNNNGAGGCCCAGGUCAGUGAGGUCCAGGCCAGGUGAGAUCCAGGUCAGGUGAUGUCCAGGCCAGGUGAGGUCAAGGCCAGUGAGGCCCAGGCCAGGUCAGUGAAGUCCAGGCCAGGUGAGGCCCAGGGCAGGUAAGGUCCAGGCCAGGUGAUGUCCAGGGCAGGUGAGGUCCAGGCCAGGUGAUGUCCAGGUCAGGUGAGGUCCAGGGCAGGUGAGGUCCAGGCCAGGGGAGGCCCAGGUCAGGGGAGGCUCAGGUGCGUGUGCCAGGCUUCUGUGGUUUUCUCCCGGUGCCGACCUCGCCUGGCGUCCCUGCCCCUCCUCCCAGCCCCCUCUGCGCCUGCCCAUUGGCAGUCCCUGCAGGGUGGUGCUGGCUGUGGAGGGGCUGGGCUCGGCCUCCCCGUGCAUGGGCGUCCCUCUGGGCCCUGGUCUGGAGUGUGGCUGAGCUGCUUCUCUCUGGGAUGCACCGACUGUGCCCUCCUCGCUGGUCCGCGGCUCCGUGCUUGCUCCACGUCAGGCCCCAGGAGCUGCCAGCAGGGCGCCUGCCACCUGUCCGGGGAUGCCAGGGAGUUCGGUGUUUGUAUUUACACCACGCGCUCUGUACCCCGUUGCCACGUGAGGCCACCCCGUGAGUGCUGCCACGUUGUCACAGAUACUCGCCCACCUGCAGCCGACCCUGCCUCCCUGUGUCCUGCUGGCCAUGUAGGCGUAUUUUCUGCUAAGUAACCAGCCCAGCUGCAGGCCUUCCGGGGGUCUCACCGAGGCCAGGUGCAAAUCGUCCGUCUUACAGUCAUCAACAAACAAUGCGGAUGAGAAAACCACACAGAAAAGACCUUGAAACGCAGAGCUGUGCAGCCACGGGCCUCAUUAGUACACUCCACUUCUCGACGGGGUGAGGGAAGGGCGGGUACACCGUUUGUCACUUACCUCAUAGGGGCGGCUGUUUCAGUAGAAUUUCUUGGGCCAGCUCCCAGCCUGCUGUCACGAAAACUCACAGCGUGGUGCUGGAGGGAAAGGGUGUUUGGCAGUAAAUGUCCACAUCCAGACAGAAGAAAGGUCUCAAGUCAAUAAACUCAACUGUUAUUUUGGCCUACAGAAAACAUAUUGUUCAUCUUUGUUUAUAGAGUCUUAGGCUUCUAAAUUUGAGAUCGUUGGCAGUUUUCCUCCAACUGUAAUGAUAAUCAGCCAAUUUAAGGAGGUUUUCAGUUGCAGAAUUUCUAUAGCGGUAUCCUCUCCUGAAAUCUCAGUAUUCACUACUUAAAAACCCGUGCAUGGAUGCAGAGUGACAUCAGCAAGAUGGAUGACUAGAGAAGCCUGGUGCUCUUCCCCACCCUCCCCACAAGAAAGGACCAAGGCAAAGAAGAAACGGCGCAGGUUUGACCAGAGUACGGAAGGGAGUGAUUCUUUAUCAGUCGGUAAUCCCGACUGAUCAGAUGGAGUGCUGCAGAGGAGGGGAAUGCACCUGUGGUGAUCAGAGGCUCAGCGUGGAGGCACCUGGCCUUUGAAGCCUUGUCUUCCCCUGACUGGAUUGGCCUGGACACAGGAGGCACUUCCCACCAGCACCCACUGCCACCGCAAACAUCUGCAGCCCUUACAGCAGGAGAAUUCCACAGUCUGCGAGCCCUCGGCCAAGUUUGGGAGUUGCCGGGAAUGAUCCCAGAUCAGGAGCACAAGGUGUGUACUCCCCGCCCCCAUUCACGCCUGUGAGCUAAGCUGCUGCAACCCAGUGCCAUCUUGAGACCAGAGCCACCUCUGGAGUGCAUCCUGCCCUCAGGCCGGUAGCCACUGCCCCUCUCCAGCACUGGGGCUCCAUCUCCAUGAUGCCCAUAUGUGGGUGGCUGAAUGCCACAACCCUGGCAGUGCAGAGCCUAGGCCGAGGAUUGGCGGUGACUCUGGCCCUGCACAGCAAAAAACCCAACCCCUGCUGCUGCACGUCUAGCUGGAGGAAGAGCCUGCCAGUCCUGCCCAAGGUGAACCACAGCUGACUUGGCCAAGCUGAUGAGUGCCCUCCCCUGAGCAGGAGAGGCCCCUGACCACUGAGCACCUGGCACUACCUCCAGGCUGGCAGAGUGGAUAUGUGCCCACACUUGGGCACCCACUCCAAUUCCCACAGAUAUGCUGUUGACCUGUCCACGUUGCACUUGCAAUUAGGCCUGAGAAACAGCAUCAUGGGUCACCCCUAUACACUUCUACAGGCCAAAGAGCAGCUGUGCACCCAGGACCCAGACCUGAGAAACAACCCUGUGCCCCCUUAGCCCCCCAGUGGACCCAAAUCCAGGCCGGCUGAGGAAGACAUGUGGCUGUGUCCUGGGUCUGAGAAAAAGCCCAUGGGGUGCCCCCAGGAGACACAUGCCCAGGACAGUUGAGCAGCCAUGCACUUGUGUCCUGAACCUGAGAAACAGCCCCUGUGGAUUGCCCUCAGAAGCCACAGCCCCAGGCCAGCCAAAGAGAUCUGUGUUUGUGUCCUGGGCCCGAGAAACAGCCCCAUGUCCCCAACCCCAGUGAGCCUGGCACCAAGCUGGUCAAUCCACCAUGUGGA